This 526-nucleotide ribosomal RNA is filed under the name uncultured bacterium. RNAcentral's name for it is "bacterial SSU rRNA". It matches the Rfam family "Bacterial small subunit ribosomal RNA", at positions 527 to 1048 of the family's 1533-position model. The record is from RNAcentral.
GUAGGGUGCGAGCGUUAAUCGGAAUUACUGGGCGUAAAGCGUGCGCAGGCGGUUUGGUAAGUCAGAUGUGAAAUCCCCGGGCUCAACCUGGGAACUGCAUUUGAGACUGCCAAGCUGGAGUUUGGCAGAGGGGGUGGAAUUCCACGUGUAGCAGUGAAAUGCGUAGAGAUGUGGAGGAACACCGAUGGCGAAGGCAGCCCCCUGGGCCAAUACUGACGCUCAUGCACGAAAGCGUGGGGAGCAAACAGGAUUAGAUACCCUGGUAGUCCACGCCCUAAACGAUGUCAACUAGGUGUUGGGAGGGUUAAACCUUUUAGUGCCGUAGCUAACGCGUGAAGUUGACCGCCUGGGGAGUACGGCCGCAAGGCUAAAAACUCAAAGGAAUUGACGGGGACCCGCACAAGCGGUGGAUGAUGUGGAUUAAUUCGAUGCAACGCGAAAAAACCUUACCUACCCUUGACAUGUCAGGAAUCCUGGAGAGAUCUGGGAGUGCUCGCAAGAGAACCUGAACACAGGUGCUGCAUGG